AGGCAGGGUCUCACUCCAUUGCCCAGGGCUGGAGUAUAGUGGCAUGAUCACAGCUCACUGCAGCUUUGACUUCCUGAGCUCAAGGGAUUUUCGUCCUUCAGCUUCCCAAAUAGUUGGAACUGCAGGUUCUCUUAGAAGCACAAGAUAUGGCAGUGAGAGACCAUAACGUGGAAUUCAGGUCCAAUUUAUAUAUAGCUGAGUCCACCUCAGGACGAGGCCAGUACCUGAAACGCAUCCGCUACCAUGGCAGAGGUCGCUUUGGGAUCAUGGAGAAGGUUUAUUGCCAUUAUUUUGUGAAGUUGGUGGAAGGGCCCCCACCUCCACCUGAGCCACCAAAGAUGGCAGUUGCCCAUGCCAAAGAGUAUAUUCAGCAGCUUCGCAGCCGGACCAUCAUUCACACUCUAUGAGGAGAUUCAGACUCCACGGUGUAUAUAUUUUGCCAUUUAUUUUCUAAAAAUAAACAAAAAUUGAAGACAAA
Molecule: small RNA, 478 nt
Filed under: Pongo abelii (Sumatran orangutan)
Lineage: Eukaryota; Metazoa; Chordata; Mammalia; Primates; Hominidae
Description: processed transcript
Source: RNAcentral